Molecule: non-coding RNA, 5080 nt
Organism: Phalacrocorax carbo (great cormorant)
Lineage: Eukaryota; Metazoa; Chordata; Aves; Suliformes; Phalacrocoracidae
Source: RefSeq, a predicted model, not a curated record
GCGGGAAGGGGAGGCAGUGCCGCAGGGGACGGGCUGCUUUACAGUCACUCAAGAGCGAAGCAUGUGGGCGAAGCCCUGGUUUCUGCGGGGAACGGCAGCCGCGCCAGGGUGAUGGAUGGUGCUGCGGAAUGUGCUCCAGCUGUCUCGCUCCGAGACGGCUCGAAACCCCGAGAACUGCUGGGUGUGAUAAAAUAGGCCACCGAAAAGGCAAUUAGUCCUUUUCCAGUUAAAAACAGCUUUAUUCUUUCUGAAUCCAGAGAGUUCAAUGAAGUGUCUGAAGUUUUCACAAGGGAGAAGAGCGCUGAAGUGUGUCCUCAUCCUCUCUUUCCCGGUACUGAUCUCUCUCAGCAUUCAGGAGCAAAAUCUGGAGAUCUCUCGUAUGGCAUUUCUGUGACUGUCACUGGAAGCUGAACCUCUGGAGUGAAAUAGUCCUGGAUGCAACCUCAGGUAGGAGCACCUUAUCUUUUACUCUCUGGACUAGCUACCCUGUUAGCUAGCGGUGGGGUUAACGUGCGUGAUCAGCUCUGCUAAGCCACUCCAUUUAUUCCAGGAGCGUAUUAGCCCUGGGAAACGUCACCCCCUCUUCAUCUCUGGCUGUUGAAGUGAGCCUAGCUCUCUCCCCACCCCGCUUUCGCCCGCUCCCGGAGAGCCCUGCAAAGCCCCUUGCCAGCCCCUGAAAAGCUUGCUCAGAUUCUGCUGGGCCUGAGGCGCAAGACCUGGUGCCAAGGCAAAGACUAACACCUAUUUCUGUGUAACGGGAGAGAAACGAGGCCGUAGCCAUAGGUCUGUGCACUGUGGAAGCACAAAUACAGAACUGCACGUGUGAAGGAAGCCCAGAAGAGAGACUUUGCUGGGUAAUUCUCAGCUCUGGCAUUCAUUAAAGUGUGCAGGGUUUAAAGCUCAGAGAAAUGCUAAUCUCACGUAUAAAAAUCCGUGAACAUUUGUUUUUUUCUUUACCUUCAGUUCUGUAGAAAUGUGAGGGUUGACAUCCCCGUGUAUGCAUAUGCACUAGCUGCAAACCCCCAAAGACAGCAGAUGCUGCUUUGGAGAAAGCCCAGCUCUGAAAUAAAAUAUUAAAUAUUUAUAGAUCAGAGCUGAACUGCUUCGUUGUCCAGGUACUUGAGGGGAAAUCUGUCCUGGAGCUGUGAGAGGGAAGCAUUAGCGGAGGGCAGGGUGAAGCCCAGCAGAGCGCUUUCUGGAAUGGAAGAGCGAGCCUUGACACCGCGCCAAGGCCCAAGCCCUGCGGGGGGUGUGAUGCUGCAUCUCCGUGGCCGGUCGCCAAAGCAGGGCUGGCAAUAUGUUGCUUAAUGCUUUGGUGACUGGAAAAUAAACGUGUUACUGAUUCCUCCUGUUUAAAAAGAAGUUUAGCAAGUUAAAAUAGGACAAUAGGAGAUGGCAGAUAACAUCCGAAUUGUCAUUUUUUGUUUCUCCCAUUCUCGUUUGUAGACUUCUUGGUUUACUGGUCCUUAGUAGAGCGGUUGCUACGGAAUCGGUAUAAUGAUAAUUUUAGUUUACCUGCACAUAAAAUGUACAAAAAUAUCUGUAACUCUCUUCACAAUGUGGCCAGUAUAGAUCUAUUAGGACAAGGCGUCCUAUUUCUAAAAGCAAUGAUUUAAAUAAACUUCAGCAUUUCAGAGCUGGGCAUGUAUUGCUUGUAAUAAUUUUAGCACUUCAGGUUCAGCAUCAAUAGUGCUGUUUAUAAUUUAAAUGACUGUGAGGAGAAUCCAGUAAUAAGCACCAAAAUGUCUUGGCUAAUUUUUAGAAGCUCUGUGUACAUGUUCCUUUGGCAGGGUGUGGGGAAAGGAGAACGAUUGUAAGGAGGAGGGAAAAAUUGUCUGUGUAUUUGCUUUCCCUGUGAUUUCUUCUCUUAUGGUUUCAGACCAGUUUUGCUCGCUCUCUCCAGCUCUCCUCCCUCUUGGUCCAUCCAGGUAGAAUGAGGAAAUUUCCUCUACGGGUCUGACAUGCCAGAGGCAACGGUAGGAGAGCGGCAUUCGCAAAACACUGAUUUAACAUUCCUAUUUUGCUUUUCCUUUUUAAGAGAGUGUGUUGUGGUAAAACAGCUCUGGGUGUCUAGAUGACUUGCUUUUUCUUUGAACCAGUCCUGCUUUGGGAUGGACUAGCCCUGAUGGGAUUGCCCGAUGUUCUCCAGAAACGGUGCUGGACCCGUCCCUUCCAUACUGCUUGCCUGGAGAAGCUGUUGUGCGUCGUGCUCUGCUUCGUGCCGUGACUGGUUGGGGCCAUUUCGUUUGUUCUGGGGCAGUUUUGUUCCACUAAGCCUUAGUUAGGACCCCAUUUUUUAUGAUUAGUGUGAACUUCUGGUAUGAAGCCCCAAAAUCUUGGGUGGCAGCAGCCUUACAUCUAUUUCUCAGCUUUGAGCACGGGCUGAUGUAGUCCAAGGCUCAUCCUUGAGCACGUGGGAUCACGAUGAAGAAGAGGCAAUGGAUAACACAGCUAACUCGUGCCCUGUGGUCGAAGCGGUCGCAGCCUGGCACACGUGGGUAGGUCCCGGCUGCAGCAGGUCUGCGGCUGAGCACACGCGGGCAAGGGCCAGGCCCUGCACGCUGGGAGCCAUCAGGCAGGAAUUAACCAUCAGAUUUCUCCAGUGUGUGAUGGGGUUUGGUUUGUUUCAGGUACCUAAGAACUGGAAAUGAAUUUUGUUCUCAUUCCUCCAUGCCUGAAAACAUGUGGGGGCUGGGUCUAUUUGUCUUCAUUUUAGAAAUGCUCUUUUUUUGUGUGUUUUUUAAUCAAUGACUUUAAUGAGGAGAAGAGCCAGACUCCGUAACCAGCACUAACAGAGAUUUCAUCAGUUAUUUUGAUAAAGAUGAAGAUGGGUGUUUGGACCUGAAGGUUUCUCUUGGGGGAGUCUGGCUGCCCCUGGGUUGGAAGAGUCUUGGCGUUCCCGCUAUCCCAGUAGCUGCUGUCGGAUGGGAGGGAAGCUGCGAGGUUCGUUGCUGCUCUCGGAGGUGGGGAGCUGCUUCCUGGACGUUUUUGAAAGGCAUUAAUUCCUUUUAUGUAGUUUAAGCUUUACUCUGUUUGCCAGUUUCAAUUUAAAGGAAGUGCUGGGUGAUCCCGAUGGCCGGAAUGCGGGCGCAGGUUAACAGCCAGCUUUCCCAACACUUUCCAUUUCAAAAUACGAAACCGGAUCUUGCAGAAACAACCAGAAUUGCACUUCAAGUACUUCCUAGUUCUGACUAGACAAACCUGUAAUUUUUUCAAUUUCAUUUCCAUUUCCUUUUAUAUCUGGAAUACCUUCAAAGAAGGAAAAAAGGCACCGAUAAGGUUUAGAUAUCAGAUAAGAAACUUGAAAUAGGUUUUCGGGAGCAGGCACGCAUAACCUCCAUCGUUCCCCUGCAGCUAUGUAGGCCAGCUGUUUUUCUGCCUUUCUCAGCCAUUUGUGAGUACCAUAAAGGGGUGAGAAAGGUUUGAAGGAUAAAAAUAGAAACAUCUCACAGCUUCCCAGUCCCGCUUCAGUUCCUCACGUUUCGUGGGUAACCCAACGUGGUUCUUUGAGUUCCCAGGUGAGGCCGGGCUGCUGACUGUAAAAGUACUGUCGCUGUGUGUUGUAGGAACGCUGUGUUUUUAAAAGCAAAAGUAUGCUUAAGUAGCAAAUGCAUCUGUCUAACAGUGCUAAAUUUUCACUGAAGUCAGUGGGCGAGGUCAGGUCCGGAGCUAUAUAUUUGCCAGCACAAGCAGGCUCUUACCCAGUGAUUAACCGCAGCGGCAAAGCUGGCAGCGGGCACGAUUCUGUGGUGUUUUCCCAAACGAAUCCACGGGAUGCUGAUCCCUCAUUACCUUAAGGGGUCAUGAAACUACAUUUAAGUCCAGUUGCUGUUUGUUACCCCUCUUCUCCAUUACAGAAACAUCCUGUUCAGGUGCGUGCGCGACCCAAGCAGCGGCAGCACGCGCAGCCAACCACCCACCCGGGCUUCAGGGAGACCCUGGCUGUUCCCUCCCAGCAAACCCAUCGCCUGAGAAUAGGAAAUACCACCCCUUUAGAGGUUGUCAAGUGAUUUGCUGACACCAGUCACAAACAUUCCUGAGACUCCUGGGUGUAACGUGUCCCCUUGUUUGCAUGCACGGGGUGGUGGGACCAGGCGGGGUCGGUACCUGGGUGGGUAAAUGCGUUGGGAGGAGCAUUAGGACGAUGCUGCUCCUGGUCACACCAAUACCCUUAUGGCAAAGACUUCUAGACAUCAUUUGAUCUCAGUGCCUCUACGAUAUAACUUUUAAUUGUGAUCUAAGUACUGAAAUACUCAAAACACUGCGCGAUGACUACAUGGCUUGAUUUUUCUUCUGGGAGUGCACAGCCUGUGGAUGAGAUGGAGUUAAGCUGUGCAGCACAGCUAUGCUUCUGAAUGGGAAUGAAGGUGUUUGUUUUAUUUUCAUGAAAUGACUUUAUAAAAAGUAGAACUGCAUUAAAAUUAACAGAGCGGGGUUUUAAUCCUCUGAUAAGUUGCCCGGCUAGAAAUGCGACGUGGGGUGGCUGAGGCGGGGACGUGCAGCGCGCACCUCUGGAAAGAGCGAAUGCUGCUGCGGAUCGGGUGCCUGCGGGUGCCCCCUGCAUCCCCCCAAGGAAGGGAAGCGAGGAGCUCAUCGAGGGCAGGGAGCAGCUUAACUCCUUGGAAAAGCUCAAGCUGAUGCCUUCAACCAGCCGACAUCUGUAAGGGUGAGCAGUGCCCCUCGCCUGGCAGACAUCGGGGGAGCUUAGGGAAGAGAAAAGGACCCAGUAAGCACAACCCAGUGGGACAGCAAAAGGUUUGAUAAAUGUUUUAUGUAAAGAACAAAAAUAAAUACUUAUGAUAAUCAGGACAAAGCCCUGGUUUUGAUGAGAAAUGAGUCGCCCUAUAUUAUUCCCGUCACCUGAGAACGCCUCCCAGGCAGGAGCCGGUCCUUGACGCGGUGCUGCAAACAAAGCAGGGGAGUUGUUCCGAGUCUGCUUCAUAGAGAGAAAAACAGAAGCAAGAAAGGUGAAUAAUUGGCACAAAGUCAGGGGCGCUGGAGGGGAGCAGGGCUGGGGACUCUGUGCGGGCAUUGCCCAGCAGAGCCCAAACGCGCGGCGGUGGCUGCGGGUGCCGGUACC